CAGACAGAGACUGACAGACAGACAGAGACAGACAGACAGACAGACAGGCAGUCUCUGUUUCUCUCUACCAUGUGUCCUGGAUUGCCUGAAGUGGUGUCAUCUCUCUCUCCGUUCUCCAUGUCUCUGACCUGCAGUUGAUCCACCUCUCUUACUUCAAUCACUCCUUCCACCGACCUGAGAGGCGGAGAAAGAGGGAGGGUUUAAAGAGGGGUAGAGAGAGAGAGAGGGUUUAAAGAGGGUAGAGAGACGUAGGGUUUAAAGAGGGUAGAGAGGUAGGGUUUAAAGAGGGUAGAGAGACGUAGGGUUUAAAGAGGGUAGAGAGACGUAGGGUUUAAAGAGGGUAGAGAGAGAGAGGGUUUAAAGAGGGUAGAGAGACAUAGGAUUUAAAGAGGGUAGAGAGGUAGGGUUUAAAGGGGGGUAGAGAGAGAGGUUUUAAAGAGGGUAGAGAGACGUAGGGUUUAAAGAGGGUAGAGAGGUAGGGUUUAAAGAGGGGUAGAGAGACGUAGGGUUUAAAGAGGGGUAGAGAGACGUAGGGUUUAAAGAGGGUAGAAAGAGAGAGGGUUUAAAGAGGGUAGAGAGAUGUAGGGUUUAAAGAGGGUAGAGAGAGAGAGGGUUUAAAGAGGGUAGAGAGGUAGGGUUUAAAGGAGGGUAGAGAGAGAGGGUUUAAAGAGGGUAGAGAGAGAGAGGGUUUAAAGAGGGUAGAGAGGUAGGAUUUAAAGAGGGUAGAGAGAGGGUUUAAAGAGGGUAGAGAGACGUAGAGUUUAAAGAGGGUAGAGAGGUAGGGUUUAAAGAGGGUAGAGAGACGUAGGGUUUAAAGAGGGUAGAGAGACGUAGGGUUUAAAGAGGGUAGAGAGAGAGAGGGUUUAAAGAGGGUAGAGAGACAUAGGGUUUAAAGAGGGUAGAGAGGUAGGGUUUAAAGGGGGGUAGAGAGAGAGGGUUUAAAGAGGGUAGAGAGACGUAGGGUUUAAAGAGGGUAGAGAGAUGUAGGGUUUAAAGAGGGGUAGAGAGACGUAGGGUUUAAAGAGGGGUAGAGAGA
Molecule: long non-coding RNA, 1036 nt
Organism: Esox lucius (northern pike)
Lineage: Eukaryota; Metazoa; Chordata; Actinopteri; Esociformes; Esocidae
Source: Ensembl